Molecule: ribosomal RNA, 279 nt
Filed under: uncultured bacterium
Lineage: Bacteria
Description: partial 16S ribosomal RNA
Rfam family: Bacterial small subunit ribosomal RNA
Source: RNAcentral
UGCCAGCAGCCGCGGUAAUACAGAGGGUGCGAGCGUUAAUCGGAAUUACUGGGCGUAAAGCGCACGUAGGCGGCUUGGUAUGUCGGGUGUGAAAUCCCCGGGCUCAACCUGGGAACUGCAUCCGAAACUGCCUUGCUCGAGUAUGGGAGAGGGAAGUGGAAUUUCCGGUGUAGCGGUGAAAUGCGUAGAUAUCGGAAGGAACAUCAGUGGCGAAGGCGACUUCCUGGACCAAUACUGACGCUCAGGUGCGAAAGCGUGGGGAGCAAACAGGAUUAGAUA